GUUGCACCGGCCUAUAUAUGUCC
This 23-nucleotide non-coding RNA is filed under the name Arabidopsis thaliana (thale cress). Lineage: Eukaryota; Viridiplantae; Streptophyta; Magnoliopsida; Brassicales; Brassicaceae. The record is from RNAcentral.